Molecule: long non-coding RNA, 525 nt
Filed under: Olea europaea subsp. europaea
Lineage: Eukaryota; Viridiplantae; Streptophyta; Magnoliopsida; Lamiales; Oleaceae
Source: RNAcentral
AUACGGUCCUUGUGUUCUUGCCAAAUUGGUUCGACCCAGUGGAGAAAGCCCUUUUUUGGAUCUUUGGUUUGGACCAGGGUUAAUUCUUCACCUGGUGACAAGCUCAGUGAGUGAUUAUCCAAGGAUCAAAGCCAAAGAAUUGAACGUUUGAAGCAUGAGACAAAAAUGGAUGAGAGAUUAUUGAUAGACGAAGUUGUGAGCAUUCAUGAAAAUGUGGCAGCUCCUCCAUUGGCUGAGCUGGCAAGGAAGGAAGAAGGCAGCUGAUGAACAGAGAAGAUAAAGAAACCGAUAUAGUACUGGAGUCUUUUAGAUCCGCCAUGCAGAGUUUGCUGAUUCAGGCAGAAUUGUUGGGACUAGAACAGUUCAGGUGGCGCCAGAAACACCUAGUCCUCUACAAAUGAAAGAUUCUUUGCAGCCCGAUUCAGUUUUGUAUUAGAACUCGGAUGCUAGAAAGGCAGAGAGAGGCUGAGCAGUUCAAGAGAAAAGAAAACCUAUAAUCUGGUAGCAAAGGUCGGCUUCGAAAAG